This 1037-nucleotide ribosomal RNA is filed under the name fungal endophyte. RNAcentral describes it as "eukaryotic LSU rRNA". The stretch from base 460 to 1037 matches the Rfam family "Eukaryotic large subunit ribosomal RNA", at positions 1 to 581 of the family's 3401-position model. Lineage: Eukaryota; Fungi. The record is from RNAcentral.
UAUACCCUGUUGCUUUGGCGGGCCCACCGGGUCUCUCCGGUCGCCGGGGGGCACUGCGCCCCCGGGCCCGUGCCCGCCAGAGCACCCUAUGAACCCUUCUGAAGAUCGGCGGUCUGAGUGGGAUGAUAAUCAUUAAAACUUUCAACAAUGGAUCUCUUGGUUCCGGCAUCGAUGAAGAACGCAGCGAAAUGCGAUAAGUAAUGUGAAUUGCAGAAUUCCGUGAAUCAUCGAAUCUUUGAACGCACAUUGCGCCCCCUGGCAUUCCGGGGGGCAUGCCUGUCCGAGCGUCAUUUCUGCCCUCAAGCGCGGCUUGUGUGUUGGGCGUGGUCCCCCGGCCCCGGGGGACCUGCUUCAAAGGCAGCGGCGACGUCCCGUCUAGGUCCUCGAGCGUAUGGGGCUUUGUCACCCGCUCGGGAGGGGCCUGCGGGCGUUGGUCACCCCUAUUUCUUAUUGUACGGUUGACCUCGGAUCAGGUAGGAGUUACCCGCUGAACUUAAGCAUAUCAAUAAGCGGAGGAAAAGAAACCAACCGGGAUUGCCUCAGUAACGGCGAGUGAAGCGGCAAGAGCUCAAAUUUGAAAUCUGGCCCCCCCGGGGUCCGAGUUGUAAUUUGGAGAGGAUGCUUCGGGCACGGUCCCCAUCUAAGUGCCCCUGGAACGGGCUGUCACAGAGGGUGAGAACCCCGUAUGGGAUGGGCGGCCGCGCCCGUGUGAAGCUCCUUCGACGAGUCGAGUUGUUUGGGAAUGCAGCUCUAAGCGGGUGGUAAAUUUCAUCUAAAGCUAAAUACUGGCCGGAGACCGAUAGCGCACAAGUAGAGUGAUCGAAAGAUGAAAAGCACUUUGAAAAGAGAGUUAAACAGCACGUGAAAUUGUUGAAAGGGAAGCGUUGGCCACCAGACGCGCCCGGGAGGGCUCAACCGGCACCUGUGCCGGCGUACUCCCCCCCGGGCGGGUCAGCAUCGGUUUGGACGGUCGCAGAAAGGCCCCGGGAAUGUAGCACCCUCCGGGGUGCCUUAUAGCCUGGAGUGUCAUGCGGCCC